RNAcentral lists this ribosomal RNA (274 nucleotides) under uncultured bacterium. RNAcentral describes it as "partial 16S ribosomal RNA". It matches the Rfam family "Bacterial small subunit ribosomal RNA", at positions 523 to 796 of the family's 1533-position model. The record is from RNAcentral.
AUACGGAGGGUGCAAGCGUUACUCGGAAUCACUGGGCGUAAAGCGCGCGCAGGCGGCUAUUUAAGUUGGAUGUGAAAGCCUACGGCUCAACCGUAGAACUGCAUCCAAAACUAUUUAGCUAGAGUGUGGGAGAGGAAGAUGGAAUUAGUUGUGUAGGGGUAAAAGCCGUAGAGAUAACUAGGAAUACCAAAAGCGAAGGCAAUCUUCUGGAACACUACUGACGCUGAGGCGCGAAAGCGUGGGGAGCAAACAGGAUUAGAAACCCUUGUAGUCC